Molecule: long non-coding RNA, 491 nt
Filed under: Prunus dulcis (almond)
Lineage: Eukaryota; Viridiplantae; Streptophyta; Magnoliopsida; Rosales; Rosaceae
Description: sRNA ncRNA
Source: RNAcentral
UGGGGUUCCACUUUUAACAUAAGCAUGCAACUUUUAUUAAUUUGAUCCACAAAACAUUUUCCAUAGUAGUUGUUCAAAAUAAUUAAAGUUCUUUUUAAUUUCCUUUAGAAGUAUUCUAAGCAUAACUUGUACCAUUGGCAACAAACUAUCAAAAAAUAAUCUUCAUCGAAAUUCUAUCUAUCUUAGUAAUUAUCUCAUCUUUUAAAAGCAUGAAAGUUUUUACUACAUAAUGGGAAAAACAUGAUUGAACCCAUGAAAUAGAUUAUCAAACAUUCAUCAAUUAAUUAAAAAGAAAAACUACAAAUUCCAUUUCAACAAAACUACAAAUUCACAUUAAAACUUAAGUUUGGAUCAAACUAAUAAAAAUUACAUACUCAUAUUAAAAGCUUUCCCCCUAGCCUUAGCUAGGGAGUUAGUUUCCCAUAAAAUAAAACUAAAACAGAAAUUUAGAACUAGAAGAAUUGGAGGAAGGAGAGAGAGCUCAAGAGAAG